Molecule: unclassified non-coding RNA, 379 nt
Filed under: uncultured Oligoflexales bacterium
Lineage: Bacteria; Pseudomonadati; Bdellovibrionota; Oligoflexia; Oligoflexales
Description: contains 16S-23S intergenic spacer region
Source: RNAcentral
UCCGUGUUCACCACGGCAGUCUCUCUAGAGUGCCCAACUGAAUGCUGGCAACUAAAGACAAGGGUUGCGCUCGUUGCGGGACUUAACCCAACAUGUCACCACACGAGCUGACGACAGCCAUGCAGCACCUGUCUCUCUGCUGUAUUGCUACAGAAACCGUAUCUCUACGGCGGUCAGAGGAUGUCAAACCUAGGUAAGGUUCUUCGCGUUGCUUCGAAUUAAACCACAUGAUCCACCGCUUGUGCGGGCCCCCGUCAAUUCCUUUGAGUUUUAGUCUUGCGACCGUACUUCCCAGGCGGGGUACUUAUUGCGUUAGCUCCGACUCGACAAGGGUUAAAUCUCGUCUAGUCUAGUACCCAUCGUUUACAGCGUGGACUAC